RNA transcript from Mirounga angustirostris (Northern elephant seal), 2858 nucleotides. It is a transcript of the gene named mitofusin 1, with no coding region annotated. The transcript is spliced from 19 exons. NCBI's taxonomy places the organism in Eukaryota, Metazoa, Chordata, Mammalia, Carnivora, Phocidae. The record is from RefSeq and is a predicted model, not a curated record.
UCUCCUUUUCCCAGCUUCUCCUGGGAGGAUGAGGAGGCCUGGGGGCUGAGGCUGGUCUACGGUUGCCGGGUGACAAGUUGGAGCCGGGACAGUGGGAGUGCUCGCUGCCUCGGCCGUCGGCCCGUUCACUUCGCUCGGGGUGACCUUCGUCGGCCAGGGACAGGGGGCGGGGAGUCGUGCGCCGGAGCUCUGUGACGAGGCGCCGCCGCGGGUCCGCGGGAAAGGAGCUAGCGAGCGGAUUUGCGAGCGGGGCCCUCGGCCGGGUCGAGCCCGCGGAGCCCGCGAGGCCGGAGCCCGGGGCCUGGGGAGCCGGGUCUGGGGCUGGCGCUCGCGAGCCGGUUUGAGGUCCGGUCCCUAGCUCUGCGGGCGGGGCUCCAGCGCCCGGUGUGGAAGGCCUUUCCCCAAGUAACAUAAUGGCAGAAACUGCUUCUCCACUGAAGCACUUUGUGCUGGCCAAGAGGGCAAUUACUGCAAUCUUUGACCAGUUACUGGAGUUUGUUACUGAAGGAUCCCAUUUUGUUGAAGCAACAUACAGGAAUCCAGAACUUGAUCAAAUAGCUACUGAGGAUGAUCUGAUAGAAAUACAGGGUUACAGAAACAAGCUUUCCAUCAUUGGUGAGGUGCUGUCUCGGAGACAUAUGAAAGUGGCAUUUUUUGGCAGGACAAGCAGUGGGAAGAGUUCUGUUAUCAAUGCAAUGUUGUGGGAUAAAGUCCUCCCUAGUGGGAUUGGCCAUACAACCAAUUGCUUCCUGAGUGUUGAAGGAACUGAUGGAGAUAAAGCCUAUCUUAUGACAGAAGGAUCAGAUGAAAAAAAGAGUGUGAAGACAGUUAAUCAGCUGGCCCAUGCCCUUCAUAUGGACAAAGACUUGAAAGCUGGCUGUCUUGUACAUGUAUUUUGGCCAAAGGCAAAAUGUGCCCUCUUGAGAGAUGACCUGGUUUUAGUGGACAGUCCAGGUACAGAUGUCACUACAGAGCUGGAUAGCUGGAUUGAUAAGUUCUGCUUAGAUGCUGAUGUCUUCGUUUUGGUUGCAAACUCUGAAUCAACACUAAUGAACACGGAAAAGCAGUUUUUUCACAAGGUAAAUGAGCGACUUUCCAAGCCUAAUAUUUUCAUUUUGAAUAAUCGUUGGGAUGCCUCUGCAUCAGAGCCAGAAUAUAUGGAAGACGUACGCAGACAGCACAUGGAAAGAUGUCUACAUUUCUUGGUGGAGGAGCUUAAAGUUGUGGAUCCUUUAGAGGCACAGAAUCGUAUUUUCUUUGUUUCUGCAAAGGAAGUUCUUAGUGCUAGAAAGCACAAAGCACAGGGGAUGCCAGAAGGUGGUGGGGCACUUGCUGAAGGAUUCCAGGCAAGAUUACAGGAGUUUCAGAAUUUUGAACAAAUCUUCGAGGAGUGUAUCUCGCAGUCAGCAGUGAAAACAAAGUUUGAACAGCACACUAUCAGAGCUAAACAGAUACUAGAUACUGUGAAAAACAUAAUGGAUUCAGUAAACGUGGCAGCAGCAGAGAAAAGGGUUUAUUCAAUGGAAGAGAGGGAAGAUCAAAUUGAUAGACUGGACUUUAUCCGAAACCAGAUGAACCUUUUAACACUGGAUGUUAAGAAAAAAAUCAGGGCGGUUACAGAAGAGGUGGCAAACAAGGUUUCCUGUGCAAUGACAGAUGAAAUUUGUCGACUGUCUGUUUUGGUUGAUGAAUUUUGUUCUGAGUUUCAUCCUACUCCAAGUGUAUUGAAAGUAUAUAAAAAUGAGUUAAAUAAGCACAUUGAAGAUGGUAUGGGAAGAAAUUUGGCCGAUCGAUGCACCAAUGAAGUCAAUGCUUCAAUGCUUCAGUCCCAGCAAGAAAUUAUUGAAAAUUUGAAGCCAUUACUUCCAACUGGUAUACAGAAUAAACUUCAUACACUGAUUCCUUGCAAGAAAUUUGAUCUCAGCUAUGACCUAAAUUGCCACAAGUUAUGUUCAGAUUUUCAAGAGGAUAUUGUAUUUCGUUUUUCCCUGGGCUGGUCUUCCCUUGUGCAUCGUUUCUUGGGCCCAGUGAAUGCCCAGAGGGUGCUGCUAGGAUUAUCAGAACCCAUCUUCCAGCUCCCCAGAUCUUUAGCCUCUACUCCCACUGCUCCAACCAAUCCAGCAACGCCAGACAAUGCAUCACAGGAAGAACUCAUGGUUACCUUAGUAACAGGAUUAGCUUCUCUCACAUCUAGAACUUCUAUGGGCAUCAUCGUUGUUGGAGGAGUGAUUUGGAAAACUGUAGGGUGGAAACUCAUAUCUGUUUCACUAAGUAUGUAUGGAGCUUUGUAUCUUUACGAGAGGCUAACGUGGACCACGCAUGCCAAGGAGAGAGCCUUUAAACAGCAGUUUGUGAACUAUGCAACUGAAAAACUGCAGAUGAUUGUUAGCUUCACUAGUGCAAACUGUAGCCAUCAAGUACAACAGGAAAUGGCAACCACUUUUGCUCGCCUAUGCCAACAAGUUGAUAUUACACAAAGACAUCUGGAAGAAGAAAUUGCUAGAUUAUCCAAAGAAAUAGAUCAGCUGGAGAAAAUACAAAACAGUUCAAAGUUCUUAAGGACAGUUGCCUGAAGACGCAUACAGUGGAGUCCAUAUGUACAUUAACUCAUAUGACCUUGACCAUAUGCACCGAGCAACAGUACAAGACCAAGAGAAAAGAGAGCAGCUCAUUCAAAAAUAAAGCUGUUCAACUUGAAAAUGAGCUGGAGAAUUUUACUAAGCAGUUUCUACAUUCAAGCAAGGAAGAAGAAUCUUAACAGAGAUUGCUUUGGUGAUCAUCAUAGGAGAAAAUGGAACUUGGAAGACUGGGGACAGUUGUUUAUGAAAUGACUUUAAAUAUGAAUUAUACUAACUGUA